AGAGUUUGAUCCUGGCUCAGAACAAACGCUGGCGGCGUGUCUUAAGCAUGCAAGUCGAGCGGCAAGGCGGGGCGACCCGCCCUAGAGCGGCGGACUGGUGAGUAACGCGUGGGUAAUCUACCUUGGGCAUGGGGAUAGCCAUUAGAAAUAGUGGGUAAUACCGAAUACGCUCGCGGGGGGAAGGGUCCUGUGAGGAAAGGGUGCUACGGCACCGGCCUGAGAUGAGCUCGCGUCCCAUUAGCUAGUUGGUGAGGUAAGGGCCCACCAAGGCGAUGAUGGGUAGCCGGCCUGAGAGGGUGUACGGCCACACUGGGACUGAGAUACGGCCCAGACUCCUACGGGAGGCAGCAGCUAAGAAUAUUCCGCAAUGGACGAAAGUCUGACGGAGCGACGCCGCGUGGAUGAAGAAGGCCGAAAGGUUGUAAAGUUCUUUUGCGAGGGAAGAAUAACCGCAGGAGGGAAUGCCUGUGGGAUGACAUGAACUUGCGAAUAAGCCCCGGCCAACUACGUGCCAGCAGCCGCGGUAACACGUAGGGGGCGAGCGUUGUUCGGAAUUACUGGGCGUAAAGGGCAUGUAGGCGGUCUGGUAAGCCUGGCGUGAAAGACCACAGCUUAACUGUGGGGUUGCGUUGGGAACUGCUGGGCUUGAGUGACGGAGAGGGAGCUGGAAUUCCUGGUGUAGGGGUGAAAUCUGUAGAUAUCAGGAAGAACACCGAUGGCGAAGGCAAGCUCCUGGCCGAUGACUGACGCUGAGGUGCGAAAGUGUGGGGAUCAAACAGGAUUAGAUACCCUGGUAGUCCACACGGUAAACGAUGUGCACUAGGUGCUGGGGCGGUAGCCUCGGUGCCGGAGCGAACGUGGUAAGUGCACCGCCUGGGGUGUAUGCUCGCAAGGGUGAAACUCAAUGAAUUGACGG
RNAcentral lists this ribosomal RNA (916 nucleotides) under Spirochaetaceae bacterium enrichment culture clone B6_45. Its description in RNAcentral is "bacterial SSU rRNA". It matches the Rfam family "Bacterial small subunit ribosomal RNA", at positions 8 to 916 of the family's 1533-position model. Lineage: Bacteria; Pseudomonadati; Spirochaetota; Spirochaetia; Spirochaetales; Spirochaetaceae. The record is from RNAcentral.